Molecule: ribosomal RNA, 170 nt
Filed under: Parupeneus multifasciatus (manybar goatfish)
Lineage: Eukaryota; Metazoa; Chordata; Actinopteri; Syngnathiformes; Mullidae
Also listed under: 1 other name
Description: partial 12S ribosomal RNA
Source: RNAcentral
AACCGCGGUUAUACGAGAGGCCCAAGUUGACAGGAAUCGGCGUAAAGGGUGGUUAGGGGUUAUUACAAAAUAAAGCCGAACAUUCUCAGCGCUGUUAUACGCCCCCGAGAACUUGAAGCCCCACCACGAAAGUGGCUUUACCCCGCCCCGAACCCACGAAAGCCAGGGCA